RNAcentral lists this ribosomal RNA (451 nucleotides) under Cyerce sp. 2 Waegele et al. (2006). RNAcentral describes it as "partial 16S ribosomal RNA". It matches the Rfam family "Archaeal large subunit ribosomal RNA", at positions 1920 to 2670 of the family's 2987-position model. Lineage: Eukaryota; Metazoa; Mollusca; Gastropoda; Caliphyllidae. The record is from RNAcentral.
AGCCUAAAGCAACUAUUUUAGGUGAUACCUGCCCAGUGCUAACUUAUACCUGUAAACGGCCGCAGUACCUUGACUGUGCUAAGGUAGCAUAAUAAUUUGGCUUUUAAAUGGAGUCGGGAAUGAAUGGGAUAAUGGGGCUAAGCUGUCUCUACUAUAUUUAAUUUAACUUGCUUAUUAGGUGAAAAUUCCUAAGUUUAAGAAAAAAGACGAGAAGACCCUAGGAGUUUUCACUAAGAAAAUUGAAGUAAUAAUUUUUAGGUUUUCGUUGGGGCAACAAGGGAAGAUUUUAGAACCUCCUUUUUUAAUUAGCCGACUAUAGUAUGUGAGUUUAAACUACCCUAGGGAUAACAGCGUAAUUCUAUGAUUGAGUUUGCGACCUCGAUGUUGGACUAGGAAUGAUGUAGGCUAGCCGCCUAUAUUUAUUGUUCUGUUCGAACUUAAUUUCCUACAU